CUCCCUGCCCAAAGAAUGACCACAGUGGGGAGGGCAGAGAGGACCAACAAUGGCCCCAUUGCUGCCUGCCCUUGGCACGGGCUCCAGAGGGGCUGGACUGUGCCGGGGGGGGCUGGGAAGGGGCUAAAUGCCAGCACUGUGCCGGGCUCGGCUCUGCACAUCCUGCGGAGGAGAAGGGGCAGGGAGCCAGCUCUGCUGCCAUCCCAUUUGGGGACACUGAUACCCCACGUCCCCUGCUCGUGGGAGGAUGCAUGGAGAAGAGGAUGCCUGGGAUGCAGGAUUCCUGGGGAUGGAUGCUCUGGAGCAUCCUGGGGUGGCAGAAGGCCUGGCACCAGGUGGCACGUGCAGCUCCUCAAGUCGGCGGACCUGGGGCGGCAGAGCCUGCUCUACCUGAAGGAGAUCGGGCAUGGCUGGUUCGGCAAGGUGUUCCUGGGGGAGGUGAACUCGGGCAUCAGCAGCACCCAGGUGGUGGUGAAGGAGCUGAAGGCGAGUGCCAGCGUGCAGGACCAGAUGCAGUUCCUGGAGGAAGCGCAGCCCUACAGAGCCCUCCAGCACACCAACCUGCUGCAGUGCCUGGCCCAGUGCGCCGAGGUCACCCCGUACCUGCUGGUGAUGGAGUUCUGCCCGCUGGGUGACCUGAAGGGGUACCUGCGGAGCUGCCGGGGGGCCGAGGCCAUGACCCCGGACCUGCUGACCCUGCAGAGGAUGGCGUGCGAGGUGGCCUGCGGUGUCCUGCAUCUGCACAGGAACAACUACAUCCACAGUGACCUGGCCCUGCGGAACUGCCUCCUGACCGCCGACCUCACUGUGAAGAUCGGGGACUACGGGCUCUCGCACUGCAAGUACAAAACCCUGCACACUUGGCAGGACGACUACUUCGUGACGGCCGACCAGCUGUGGGUGCCGCUGCGCUGGAUCGCGCCCGAGCUCAUCGAUGAGGUGCACGGCAACCUGCUUGUGGUGGACCAGACCAAGGCCAGCAAUGUCUGGUCGCUGGGCGUCACCAUCUGGGAGCUGUUUGAGCUGGGCAGCCAGCCCUACGACCACUACUCCGACCGCCAAGUGCUGGCCUACGCCAUCAAGGAGCAGCAGCUGAAGCUGCCCAAGCCCCAGCUGAAGCUGUCGCUGUCGGAGCGCUGGUACGAGGUGAUGCAGUUCUGCUGGCUGCAGCCUGAGCAGCGCCCCACAGCCGAGGAAGUGCACCUGCUGCUGUCCUACCUGUGCGCCAAGGGGGCCACAGAGGCGGAGGAGGACUUCGAGAAGCGCUGGAAUUCCAUGAAGCCCAACGGCAGCGCCAGCGGCAGCCACCACGGCCCCGAGCUCUCGUCCUUCCCGCUGCUGGAGCAGUUCUCAGCCGACGGGUUCCCCUCAGACGGGGACGACAUCCUCACUGUCAUGGAGACCAGCCACGGCCUCAACUUCGAGUACAAGUGGGAGCACACCAAGACCGAGCACUUCCAGGCCCCCCUGGGGUCCCUGAGCCCCAGCAGCGCCGCCCGCUACCACGACCUCUAUUACCCGGCCACGACGGCAGGGCUCAGCCUGGGGGUGUCCCCGUCCUGCUACGAGUGCAAGGCGUCCGGCUGCCCCGGGGUGCCGGUGCCCGGCGUGGUGCCCAUACUGGGCGCCCACAGCCCCUCGCUGGGCAGCGAGUACUACAUCCGCAUCGAGGGCCCCGGCGAGGGCAGCGCCGAGCUGGACUACGCCAUGUGCACCUACAGCCCGGCGGGCGAGCGCGGGGCCCUGCGCCCCCCGGCCUGCUGGAGAGCCCAGGGCGGCCGCGGCGGCGGCACCUACGACUCCGACGGCAGCCCCACCGUGUCCCUGAGUAUGGAGCCGCUGCUGGGCCACGCGCCCGCGGGCGAGGGCUCCUGGGAGUGCGCCGAGUACUGCCCCUACCCCUGCCCCGGCAAGGAGCCGCGGGGCUACGAGCCGACCCCCAGCCACGGGGCCGAGGGCUAUCUGCUGGCGGAGGAGCCCCCCCAGCCGGGCAGCCAGGACUGGCCCGUCCCCGCCUUCCAGCCCGGUGUCUUUGUCGACCCGCUGGGCGUCUCGCCGUCGGGGAACUGCGCCUACAGCCCCCCGGGGUACGGGGGGACACCGGGCCCGAGCGGGGUCCCGCCGGACUGCGUGGCGCUGGAGCUGGGCGAGGACAGCCCCCCCAGCGCCCCCCACCCGCCCGGUGCCAGCCCCCCGCCUCAGCGCCAUCCCUGGGCCUCCAACAGCUCCUCCAACAACAACAUCGGCAGCGGCAGCCCCCGCGAGCCCCCGGCCGGCGACAGCUGGUGCUACCGCCGCAUGAUCACCUUCCGCGGGCUCAUGGCCAAGCCGCUGGGCACAGUGCCCCGCGGGCAGCCCCAGCUCGGGGGGUCCCCGCCGGGACACGACUUCCUCCGCCCGCGGCAGGAUCAGCCCCCCGCAAUGGCCGGCGGCUCCUCCUCUCCGUGCCGCUCGCCCUCCCCGCGGCGGCAGGCCUGGCACGGCCGUGACUCAUCACCCUGCGGCCCCGCGCAGCCCGGCACGCUGGCGGGCAGCCCCGCCGCGCCCUGGGGCCCCGCCGCGGCCCCGACACCUGCGCCGGGGGCCCCGCGCGAUGCCCGGCCCGAGGAGAGCUCGGCGGCGGGAAGCCCUGGCCGCAGCCCGCUGUCCCCCGCCGCGCCGGGGCCGGGGGAGGCCGCCCCCACCAUGGCUGGCACGGCCGCCCCGAACCCCGGCCCCCCCGGCGAGCCCGGCGCAGAUGGCGCCCAGCCCACACCGGAGCCCGCCGAGGCGCCCGCGCCGGUGCCCGCGGAGGCCGUGGCCGAAGGCGGCGCCUGUGCCGCCGGCGACGCCGACCGGACGCCGGACAAGACGUUCUCCAGCAGCAGCUUCCCCAGCGUGGACGAGGGCAGCGACGAGGACACGGCCGAGCUGACCUCCGGCGUCUUCACCGACUUCUCCGGGGAAUACACGGAGCGGGCGGAGGCGGCCCCGGCGCUCAGGUCCCUGCAGAAGCAGGUGGGGACGCCGGACUCGCUGGAGUCGCUGGACAUCCCCUCCACGGCCAGCUCCUGCGAGGUGCUCAGCCCCGGCGCCUUCGCGCCCGCCGGCCAAGCCCGCGCCCUCGACAGCGGCUACGACACCGAGAACAACGAGUCCCCCGAGUUCGUCCUUAAGGAGCCCCACGAGCCCCGAGAGCCCGAAGCCUUCAGCCAGCUGGGGAAGCCGCCCCCGGGGCUGCCGGGGGGCGAGGGCGAGGCUCCGGGCCCUGAAACGCGGCUGCCCAGUGCCCCGGGGGCCGAGCUGCCCGGCCUGGCCGAGAAGAGCCCCUACCGCGACUCUGCCUAUUUCUCCGACUGCGACGCCGAGGCCGAGCGCGGCCACAAGGACGAGGGGGACAGCGAUGGGUCCCGCACGCCGGAGGCAGAGGAGGGUCCUCGCUCCCCUACGCAGGACAUAGGACGAGGAGAGGACCCGCUGCACCCGCCGGGGGCACCCGGCAGCCCCCCGGCAGCGCCUGGCGUCGCGGUGGCAGUGCCCACACCAGUGGCGGUGGCUUUGGAGGGGGACUGGGUGGGGACAGAGGCCGGGAGCGCGCCGGAGCAGGCACCUGGCACCGAGCAGAGCCCCGCUGGCACGGGGCUGGUGCCGGGCAGCCCCCCGCGCCCUGACACAGACACCUGUCCCCCGGGCUCUGUGACCCCCAAGACUUUCCUCUUGACCCCGGUGCCAGUGAGCCCUGGGGAGCCAUCGGCUGUCGGAGGGACCUGCAUGCCCGAGAGCGUCCCUGGACUUGGGGGAGCCACAGUGGGGGACAAACAGACUGUGACCCCCGCGCUGGGGCUUGGGGACCUGGGCCUGCCCCUGGAGGGGACUGUGGCGGGCGAUGCACCAGGGGGUCCCAGCACGCUGCUGCCUGGGGGCAAAUCUCCCCCGGGUCUCUCCCCGCCCCCGGCUGCCCCCGAGCGCCGUGAGGAGCCAGAGGAGGAGGAGGAGGACACAGAAGACAGUGACGAGUCGGACGAGGAGCUGCGCUGCUACAACAUCCAGGAGCAGAGCGAGGAGAGCGAGGAGGAGCCGGCAGCUGUGCCCAUCGUGGUGGCCGAGAGCCAGAGUGGCCGGAACCUGCGCAGCCUCCUCAAGAUGCCCAGCCUGCUGUCCGAGGCCUUCUGCGAGGACCUGGAGCGCAAGAAAAAGGCUGUCUCCUUCUAUGAUGACGUGACCAUCUACCUCUUCGACCAGGAAAGCCCCACGAGGGAGCUGGCUGAGCAGAGCUUCCCGGAGCCCACCCUGCCUUCAGGGCAGCCCCCCUCGCCUUCGGGGCAGCCCCCUGCCAGUGGCAGCCCCCCCAGCCCCACGGACAGGCUUGGAGCCUCCGACGACUCCUCAGAUGGCAACGCCUCGGAAGAGAGUGGUGGCUUUGAGUGGGAUGACGACUUCCCGCUGAUGCCAGUGAAGCCGUCCUUGGUGGCCUCGCUGCCGGGGACGCCGGCAGAGCCCCCCGCGCCCGUGCCCGCCCUGCCCGCCCUGGUGCCGGCGCAGAAACAGGUGCUGCCCAUCCAGUUCUCCCGGUUCACGGUGUCACCCGCCCCGGUGUCCCGGUUCUCCAUCACCCACGUCUCCGACUCGGACAUGGACUCCAUAGGAGGCAGCAGCGAAGACGGCGACCGGGAGUGAGCCCGCCGGGACACAGCCGGCAUUGCCCCGGCACCAGGGCGGCGCAGGACGGCGGGGCUGGCGCGGGGGCCGCCCGUGGGCUCCCAGACCCCGCCGGGCAGUUUUUAGGCAGAUUUUAUCGGAAGGAACUCGUUUGCUGCUUCGAGUGGGAGCGGGGCCGGCACGGCCCCCGCGGGGCCAGGCGGUGGGUGACGGUGACGGCCGUGCGCGUGUGCGGGUGGCUGUGAGCGUGCGUGUAAAAUAGACACUUAUAUAUAUAUAUAUACAUAUAUAUAUAUAAAUUAUAGCGUUUCAAGGGUAGUGCCCUGACCUUGCUAACAUUUGCGGAGUGUCCCCCCCAGUGAAGUUCCCCCUUGGCUUCUUGCCCACAUGUGCUCCCCGAGGCGGUUUGUCCCCACACCCCUUCUCCCCCGGGCUGUCCCCUCCCUGUGCCAUGCGCUCAGUCUUGCACCUUGUGGCAGCUUGGCUGUCCCACAGCUGUCCCACAGCUGUCCCACAGCUGCCCCACGGCUGCCCCACAGCUGCCCCAGAGGCACUCCACGACAUUCCUGACCGAGGGGCCACUGGCUGCUGCCACUCUGGAUGUCACUCCCUGUGCCAGAGGUGCCACUGGCUCCCCAGAGUGGUCCCCAUGGCUUUGGAGCUCCCCUCCCUUGGUUUGCAGGGAUCAGUCCCAGCUGGGGACCCUGGGGACUGGCGGAACCCUUGUCCAUUGUAGCAGGGAUCCACAUGUGGAGGGCUGGUUGUGUGGGGAAUAUCCCCCACCGGGACCUGCCAUCCUGACUAUUUUUGUAUUUAAACAAAAUGAUUAAAAAACCCCAACCCCACCCCAAAACCAAAACUUGCUGUUGACUGAACUCACAUUGACGCGAUUUUAAGUUAUUGCUGCCAAAGAGACAUAUCGGGGAGGGGGGGGGAGGGGGGCGCGCUCAUGGUUCUUUGUUCCUUUUUUUUUGUUUGUUUGUUUUUUUAUUUUUUUAAUUCAUUCGAGGCUUAGGAUAAUUGUGCAAUUCCAGCUUCCGGAAGGAAAUAGAAGUAAGCGGAGCUGAGCGAAACCUUGAAUUCAGGGCUGAUUCCUUUUGGGGUCUAUAGACCAAACCCUGAGGUUACGUCUUGCAGGUGCCACCGAGCCAGGAGGUGCAGCGAAGCCCCCGGGGGCUGGCUGGAGCCAGGGUGGCAGCUUGGGGGGCCCAGGGGGACAGCCCCUGGCACGGGGGUGGAAGAGGACACCGCAGUGGCCGAGGGGACCCCGGGCCUGUCCCCACCCUGGGCUGUGACCACCAGCCCUCUCCCACCCACUGCCCCACAUGCCAGCAGAGCCCUUUCCCUCGCCCCUGCCCUGUGUGGCCCCCACCCAUCUGCUCCAGCCCUGGGAGAGGAAGAGGAGGCACGGGAGAGGAAAAGGAAGCACAUUGUGGAGCAAGGAACCCUCGUGCAGAGCUGGAGCCUGGGCGGUCACAGGAGAAGCUGUUCCUGCAGUGGAGCUGGAAAACCCAUUGGAGGGGACACGGGAGAGAUGAGCCACCACAUCCGACUGGGACCGAGCCCCCUGGGCUGGGGACACUCUGUGCCCGGCCAAGUGCCCAGCCAAGCACCACUGCCCGGGCUGGGGGGACCAGGACGUGCUGCACCAGUGAUCAGAAAGUGCAAAAUCAGAAAUACAACGGAAAAAGCAAAAACUCUGGGUUCAACCCCUCACCCGUGGGAGACACAGUUCCUGCCUGGAAACCCUCUUCUCCCAGUUUUUGGAGCAAGGAUGUGACCCUGGUCACUCAGGAGCUGCGGGAAGCGCUGUGGGAGCCACCUUGCUCGUGGGCACCCCCAGCACUAAGCUUAGCAAGUGUGUAUAUAUAUAUUUAUAUAUAUUUAUCUCUAUCUAUCUCUCUCUCUCAUGCAGCCCUAGGAAUAGAGGAAGAGCAAACAGCCAAGCAAGACGUCCGGAUGGGAGCUCCCGUCUGCAGGGAGCAGGGGCACCCCGGCCCCAGGCACCCCAAGGCUCACUCACACACUGCCCUCACCUCCACAAGUGGUUUUUUCCUAGCUUAUAUUUUACAGCAGUACCGUACUUCCCUACCAGGAAGCUCUGGGACCGGAGCUGACCCCGUCCCAGCGGGGGCUGCAGUGCUGGCACCCACUGCCCUGUCCCAGCCCGGAGCACAGGGUGGGCAGCCGGGGUCUGGUGGGAGCCUGGGAGCUGCCUACAGCUCCCACCAUCCCCUGGCUUGCACGGGGUAUCCCGGUGUCGUGCCUGGCCUCGGGGUCCCUCCCGUCUGGGCAGGGAGAGCAGGGGGACCGUGUCCCCUCUGCCAUUGCUGCCCCACUGGAGUGCUGUGAGCCCACGGAGAGUUGUUCUCCAGCUGAGCCCGUUUCUCCACCCACAGCAAGCUGCUGCUCAGCCUGGGAGCCACCCCAGCUCUGGGACAUGCUGCUCUGACUCCGGGAAGUGCUGCCCCCGCGCUUGUUAGCACAGGCAAAGGACAGGUGGCAUGGCAGCGCUGUGACCCUCUGCCACCGAGGGAGUCUAGAGAAGAGAGAACUAGGGCACUAGCUUGAGCCUUUGGCUUUCAAAGCAGCAGGAUUAAUAAAUUCCGCCUAAAAAUGGA
RNA transcript from Corvus hawaiiensis (hawaiian crow), 7259 nucleotides. It is a transcript of the gene named apoptosis associated tyrosine kinase, with no coding region annotated. The record is from RefSeq and is a predicted model, not a curated record. Lineage: Eukaryota; Metazoa; Chordata; Aves; Passeriformes; Corvidae. The transcript is spliced from 13 exons.